GGUCACGUGUCCGAGAGGCAAGGUAAUGGCUUGCAAAGCCUUCUACGGUGGUUCGAAUCCGCCCGUGACCC
RNAcentral lists this transfer RNA (71 nucleotides) under Cytophagales bacterium. RNAcentral describes it as "tRNA-Cys". It matches the Rfam family "tRNA". Rfam says of the family: Transfer RNA (tRNA) molecules are approximately 80 nucleotides in length. Their secondary structure includes four short double-helical elements and three loops (D, anti-codon, and T loops). Further hydrogen bonds mediate the characteristic L-shaped molecular structure. tRNAs have two regions of fundamental functional importance: the anti-codon, which is responsible for specific mRNA codon recognition, and the 3' end, to which the tRNAs corresponding amino acid is attached (by aminoacyl-tRNA synthetases). tRNAs cope with the degeneracy of the genetic code in two manners: having more than one tRNA (with a specific anti-codon) for a particular amino acid; and 'wobble' base-pairing, i.e. permitting non-standard base-pairing at the 3rd anti-codon position. The record is from RNAcentral. Lineage: Bacteria; Pseudomonadati; Bacteroidota; Cytophagia; Cytophagales.